GACGAACGCUGGCGGCGUGCUUAACACAUGCAAGUCGAACGGAAAGGCCCUGCUUUUGUGGGGUGCUCAAGUGGCGAACGGGUGAGUAACACGUGAGUAACCUGCCCUUGACUUUGGGAUAACUUCAGGAAACUGGGGCUAAUACCGGAUAGGAGCUCCUGCUGCAUGGUGGGGGUUGGAAAGUUUCGGCGGUUGGGGAUGGACUCGCGGCUUAUCAGCUUGUUGGUGGGGUAGUGGCUUACCAAGGCUUUGACGGGUAGCCGGCCUGAGAGGGUGACCGGCCACAUUGGGACCGGGAUACCGCCCAGGCUUCUACGGGAGGCAGCAGUGGGGAAUUUUUCAAAAUGGGCGGAAGCCUGAUGCAGCAACGCCGCGUGCGGGAUGACGGCCUUCGGGUUGUAAACCGCUUUCGCCUGUGACGAAGCGUGAGUGACGGUAAUGGGUAAAGAAGCACCGGCUAACUACGUG
This 468-nucleotide ribosomal RNA is filed under the name uncultured bacterium. Its description in RNAcentral is "partial 16S ribosomal RNA". It matches the Rfam family "Bacterial small subunit ribosomal RNA", at positions 28 to 507 of the family's 1533-position model. The record is from RNAcentral.